CUGGAGUAGCAAGGAAAGCACAAGGCAUUUUAUGCCUUUCACAAUUCAAAGCAAAGCCAAAUUAUGUGCAUUAAUAACAGUCUCAAACAUUUUUAUUUUCACUUAAAGAUUCUUUACGUUGUAAGGAAAAAAACACAACUCUUAAACAUGGGCUCUAAUGAAGACAUCGGGGCUACUGUGUUCAACUAUUUCCCCCUUUCCUCCAACUCUUUUUUAGGAUUGGUGGAGGGUAAAGAUCGGAAGUAGUUUAUUUAUGCUAAUGAAGGAGUUGGGGGUUGUAGAUAUUUACGUUCAACGGGAGCCGCCCUUCAUUCACCCACAUGGUUAUAGGCAGGUUGUAUUCGCGCCACUUUCGCAAUUUACUAUGAUUUACAAAGUCCGGUCGGGGCGCAUUUCACACUCGUUUGGAUUUGCUUCAUGCCCUCUACUUCAGCAUAAUAGCAAAUUAAAAGUUUGCGGCGUACUUUUCGCACAUUUGCCUGUAACGUUGACAGUAAACGAACUUUCGUGAUGUUCUCUCGUCAAGCAAUUCGUCACUGUUGAAUACUCAGUUUGCCGUAUUGACCCAUGGAUGAAAGCCCUUGCAGAAUUUCACCGUUUGCAGUCACAGUAUUGCCAAAGUGCUUACAGUGCAGGUAGUACUAUGGAAUAUCUACUGCAGUGGAGGCACUUCUAGCAAUACUCUGGCCAUGGCGAACUAGUGUUGGAAUUUUGAUGUUCAUGUUGACACCUUCAAUAACAACUUUGUGCUAAGGUGCAUCUAGUGCAGAUAGUGGAGUAGACUAGCACCUACUGCCCUAAGUGCUCCUUCUGGCAUGAGGGCCUGUUAUAUGCAACUAAAUACACGUGGAAAUGUUGUCUUCUGUUGUCACGUUAAUUCCUUAAUUUUUGCAGUUCUCUGCUAGUUUUGCAUAGUUGCACUACAAGAAAACAUGAGUUGUGCAAAUCUAUGCAAAACUGAUGGUGGCCUGCUUUGUUCACCACCUUUCCCCCCAAAAAACAAAACUUUAAAAAAAAUUGGUGUGUGGGUGUAUGAUUGGUGUCCCAUAUUCAUGCUGGUGUCCCCCCUCCAUCCCUAGUCCUUCUUUACAGAUGUGUGUUGUGUGAAAUGAGUUUCAGCAGUGCUAAAGUGCUUAUAGUGCAGGUAGUUUUUAAAGUCCUCUACUGCAGUGUGAGCACUUGAAGUACUUCUAGCUAUGUGCGUCUGGAUGGGAACACCAUGGUGUCGGACCCACUCCUUAUCCGCUGGCCGGGUACUGCUAGUUUUGCUGGUUUGCAGUCAGCUUUAACAGAUGGAUGCUGUGCAAAUCCAUGCAAAACUGACAGUGACGGCAAAUUGACUCCAAAACUGUUUAAUUGUGUUUGUGGUCCCUUUCUGCGCAGGUUGGGAUAGGUGGCAAUGCUGUGCACUGGAAAGGUAUUGCACUUGUCCCGGCCUGUUGAGGAUUGAGGAGAUUAUGCCCCUGAUGUAAAAUGCUUGACUUUGUAGUAUUGCAUUAAUGUUUCUCUAAAAUGCAUGAUUGGGUAUUUAAAAAAGAAUUUGAAUAAAACUGCUACAACAUGCACGGUUUCUCUACUGUGAUAUUAAAUAUUGGUGUGAAGGGGUACCAUUGUGUAUGUGACUAUAUUUCUGAGAGGCUUUCAUUUUGUUGUCUGUUUAUGAAUGCAUGAAGUCUUUUGUAUUGAGUGAAUAUUACAGUUUUUACUUUUUAAUAAAAUAAAAUCUGAAUUUAAUUUGAGCCAAUCAGAUGUGCGCUUCACUAUUUUGCCCUUGGAUGGGAAGUGCAGAAUCUGUGGAAAAGUAUUCAAAUUCUAGAUUGUUUGUAUAAAUUCUGCAAUCUGAAAAGCAUUGAAUUGUCCUCAAGGAAUUGUUCAGGCUUUUGUAUUUAUCUCUGGGACAAACAAAUGCUACAAUGCUUACUUUUUUAUAUACUGUUGUUUAAUGUAGCCUAAAUAAAUUGUCAUUGAGAAGUAAACGUUUCUUGUGUUAUUCAUAAUGAACAUUCUUCUGUGGGGCAAAGGUAUGUGCAUGUAAAAAGAGUGAAGUGUGUUAAUGCAAUAGUACCUACAUGAUCUGGAAAAUCUUGUGUUUCUCCUAGCGGUGUAAUUUGGAAAUUUCAGACACGUGCUGGAAAUUAUGUUUUACUACCAGGGGUAUGAAAUCGAAUACGUUAUUAUGAACGUGAUCAAAUUGCAUGUAUUUCAAUGCAGAGUAUAUGACGGAGACAAUAUAGUGUGGCCUGUAAUGUACAAUACUAUUUUCAAGUGGAUAUAUCAGGUGGUGUCCUGUAGCCUACGUGUAGAGAAGUUUGACACAAAACUCCCCCUGUAAAUAACGUCUAGAAAUGCUACGAGCGUGCAAUGAGGAUGUGGGUAGCCCGGUAGUUAACAGGUCUCACCAUUUGUGGUUGGCCUUGUACUAGCCGUUGGCUAUUCUACAGAUGGUUUAGUCCAAUCCAAUUAAGCGACUGCAAAGUGAGCUAAGUCACCCUGUUAGUCGGUGUUUGUUUUACGAUCCAUAACAUGUAAAGCACACCCUUUGAGGCACCCGUAUAUGAUUAUGGCCUUAAAAAGUCCUUCCUGUGUAUUAAAUAUCCACCCCACAAAUUAUUUAAAGCAGAGCGUUUUCAUUGCAUUUUGAACUCGAGGACGUGCAAAUUAUGCAGUCUAUUAGCAGCACGAUUUGUCGCUGAUGAUGAUGGCUUCAAACCCUAUCAUGAUAACACG
Long non-coding RNA from Clupea harengus (Atlantic herring), 2727 nucleotides. The record is from Ensembl. NCBI's taxonomy places the organism in Eukaryota, Metazoa, Chordata, Actinopteri, Clupeiformes, Clupeidae.